RNAcentral lists this ribosomal RNA (573 nucleotides) under uncultured bacterium. RNAcentral's name for it is "bacterial SSU rRNA". It matches the Rfam family "Bacterial small subunit ribosomal RNA", at positions 34 to 634 of the family's 1533-position model. The record is from RNAcentral.
CGCUGGCGGCUGCCUAAUAAUGCAAGUCGAACGCUCCUGGGGAUUUCGGUCCCGAGGGGAGUGGCGCACGGGUGAGUAGCGCGUGGGAACCUGCCCUGUUGUGGGGGAUAACCGAGGGAAACUUCGGCUAAUACCGCAUGCGCCCCGGUGAUGAGCCGGGGGAAAGAUUUAUCGCAGCAGGAGGGGCCCGCGUCGGAUUAGCUGGUUGGUGGGGUAACGGCCUACCAAGGCGAUGAUCCGUAGCUGGUCUGAGAGGAUGAUCAGCCACACUGGGACUGAGACACGGCCCAGACUCCUACGGGAGGCAGCAGUAGGGAAUAUUGGACAAUGGGCGCAAGCCUGAUCCAGCAAUGCCGCGUGAGUGAUGAAGGCCUUCGGGUUGUAAAGCUCUUUCGCCCGCGACGAUNAUGACGGUAGCGGGAGAAGAAGCCCCGGCUAACUUCGUGCCAGCAGCCGCGGUAAUACGAAGGGGGCGAGCGUUGUUCGGAUUUACUGGGCGUAAAGGGCGCGUANGCGGCGCAACAAGUCAGGCGUGAAAGCCCCGGGCUCAACCUGGGAAUGGCGCUUGGGACU